RNAcentral lists this ribosomal RNA (497 nucleotides) under uncultured bacterium. RNAcentral describes it as "partial 16S ribosomal RNA". It matches the Rfam family "Bacterial small subunit ribosomal RNA", at positions 28 to 507 of the family's 1533-position model. The record is from RNAcentral.
GAUGAACGCUGGCGGCGUGCCUAAUACAUGCAAGUCGAGCGAACGGACGAGAAGCUUGCUUCUCUGAUGUUAGCGGCGGACGGGUGAGUAACACGUGGAUAACCUACCUAUAAGACUGGGAUAACUUCGGGAAACCGUAGCUAAUACCGGAUAAUAUUUUGAACCGCAUGGUUCAAAAGUGAAAGACGGUCUUGCUGUCACUUAUAGAUGGAUCCGCGCUGCAUUAGCUAGUUGGUAAGGUAACGGCUUACCAAGGCAACGAUGCAUAGCCGACCUGAGAGGGUGAGCGGCCACCCUGGAACUGAGACACGGUCCAGACUCCUACGGGAGGCAGCAGUAGGGAAUCUUCCGCAAUGGGCGAAAGCCUGACGGAGCAACGCCGCGUGAGUGAUGAAGGUCUUCGGAUCGUAAAACUCUGUUAUUAGGGAAGAACAUAUGUGUAAGUAACUGUGCACAUCUUGACGGUACCUAAUCAGAAAGCCACGGCUAACUACGUG